CCUACGGGAGGCAGCAGUGAGGAAUAUUGGUCAAUGGACGAGAGUCUGAACCAGCCAAGUAGCGUGAAGGAUGAAGGCCCUAUGGGUUGUAAACUUCAUUUAUAGGGGAAUAAAAUGUGACACGAGUGGGAUAUUGUAUGUACCAUAUGAAUAAGGAUCGGCUAACUCCGUGCCAGCAGCCGCGGUAAUACGGAGGAUCCGAGCGUUAUCCGGAGUUAUUGGGUUUAAAGGGAGCGUAGGUGGAUUGUUAAGUCAGUUGUGCAAGUUUGCGGCUCAACCGUAAAAUUGCAGUUGAAACUGGCAGUCUUGAGUACAGUAGAGGUGGGCGGCAUUCGUGGUGUAGCGG
Molecule: ribosomal RNA, 346 nt
Filed under: uncultured bacterium
Lineage: Bacteria
Description: partial 16S ribosomal RNA
Rfam family: Bacterial small subunit ribosomal RNA
Source: RNAcentral